This is a non-coding RNA of Xyrichtys novacula (pearly razorfish), 852 nucleotides long. The record is from the annotation of a GenBank genome assembly. Lineage: Eukaryota; Metazoa; Chordata; Actinopteri; Labriformes; Labridae.
UCUGAAUCUUUCUGUCCUGCAGUGAAGAGAGAGGAGCUGUCCACCACCAUUGGCCCUUUGGUCCAUCAAGGUGUUGUGAAGUGGCUGAUCCAUGUUGUUUAGAAUAGACUCCACCUUCCUCAGUGUAGAUCUCUCCACCACAUCCUCCACUGAGUCCAGCUUGAGUCCAACCACAGAGCCAGCCUUUUUCACCAGUUUGUUAAGACGUCUUGCAUCUUUGUGUUUGAUGCUUCCUCCCCAGCAGACUGCAGCGUAGAACAGAACACUGUAGACACCACAGACUGAUAAAACAUCUGCAGCAUCUUACUACAGAUGUCUAUUGAUCAGAGUCUUCUCAGGCAAAAGAGGCGGCUCUGCCCCUUUCUGUAGAUGAAGUCUAUAUUCUUAGACCAGUCCAACUUAUUAUCCAGAUGUACACCUAGGUAUUUAUAUGAUGUCACCACUUCGAUGUCCACUCCACAGGUGUUCACUGGUUGAAGAGGGGGUUUGGAUCUGCGGAAAUCUAUGACCAUCUCCUUUGUCUUUGAGGUGUUGAGGAGGAGGCAGUGACUCCAGUCACUGAAGGCUCUUAUUAGAUCUCUGUAUUCAGCUUCUUGUCCAUUUCUGAUACAUGCCACAAUAGCGGUGUCAUCUGGGUAUUUCUGGAUGUGGCAGGACUCAGUGCUGUAUUUGAAGUCUGAUGUAUACAGUGUGAACAGGAAUGGAGCCAGCACUGUCCCUUGUGGAGCCCCUGUACUGCUCAUUAAUGUCCCAGAAACACAGUUCCCCAGCCUGACAAACUGUGGCCUUCAUGUCAGGUAAUCUGUGAUCCAGGAAACACAGGAAGGAUCCACUCCCAUCUCUGUGAGCUUG